AGAUUUAGCCUAAACUAAAAACACACACCAGAGAUCCUAAACUAAAUAAUUUUAUGUCUUCAUCUUUUGUCAUGUGGAGGAAAAAAGAUGAUUCUUGAGAAGCAUACUUUUAUCAAGUGGAGGAAAAAUUGAUUUCUGGAAGCAUAUUUUGAAACUUUCCACUAAAAUAAUUAUUCCUGAAGCUUUUAGAUGAAAUAACCAUAGAAACAAGUUUCUUCUUUUCUGGAUGAUUGGCCAC
RNAcentral lists this long non-coding RNA (238 nucleotides) under Bos indicus x Bos taurus (hybrid cattle). RNAcentral's name for it is "lncRNA (ENSBIXG00005007353.1)". Lineage: Eukaryota; Metazoa; Chordata; Mammalia; Artiodactyla; Bovidae. The record is from RNAcentral.